RNAcentral lists this ribosomal RNA (92 nucleotides) under Pasteurella multocida. RNAcentral describes it as "partial 16S ribosomal RNA". It matches the Rfam family "Bacterial small subunit ribosomal RNA", at positions 1442 to 1533 of the family's 1533-position model. The record is from RNAcentral. Lineage: Bacteria; Pseudomonadati; Pseudomonadota; Gammaproteobacteria; Pasteurellales; Pasteurellaceae.
UCGGGGGGGCGUUUACCACGGUAUGAUUCAUGACUGGGGUGAAGUCGUAACAAGGUAACCGUAGGGGAACCUGCGGUUGGAUCACCUCCUUA